UUCGUUGCUACACGAAGAACUUACCUGGUUGACAUAGCAGUGGUAGGGAAGAGAAAUCGGACCGACCCUUCGGGAGCUGUUACAGGUGUUGCAUGGCUGUCGUCAGCUCGUGUCGUGAGAUGUUCGGUUAAGUCCGCUAACGAGCGCAACCCGCGUUGUGUGUUAUAUGUGUCACACAAUACCGCCGGUAUUAAGCCGGAGGAAGGUGCGGAUGACGUCAAGUCAGCAUGACCUUUAUAUCCAGGGCUACACACACGCUACAAUGGACAGUACAACAGGUUGCCAAGCCGCGAGGCGGAGCCAAUCCUCUAAAGCUGUCCUCAGUUCAGAUUGCAGGCUGCAACUCGCCUGCAUGAAGUUGGAGUUGCUAGUAACCGCAGGUCAGCUAUACUGCGGUGAAUACGUUCCCGGGGAUU
Molecule: ribosomal RNA, 416 nt
Filed under: uncultured Anaerolineaceae bacterium
Lineage: Bacteria; Bacillati; Chloroflexota; Anaerolineae; Anaerolineales; Anaerolineaceae
Description: bacterial SSU rRNA
Rfam family: Bacterial small subunit ribosomal RNA
Source: RNAcentral